AUUUCCUAGAAGAGGGAUUUUCAGGUAUCUGUAUAGGAGAGAUUUGCUUCUCUUGUGGUGCAAGUUCAAGCAUAUAUUCAGCUGAACUGCAGUAGGUGCUGCCCCAGAACUGCAGCAGGUGGAAUCCCCUAUUGUAGUGAAGCAAAAUUUCAUGCAUCAACAGUCUGCUCAGCAUGCAUUGAUGUCAGCUGGAGCGAAAGAUGCAAGUGCUCAUGACAUCACUAUUCAGCAUAUGCUGGCCAGGUGAAAGCAGAAGCCCAACAGCAACAACAAAAUUCAUCUAAUGAUUUGAACAUGGAACCUGCUACUAAUUUUGGAGUAAAUAAGAGUCUCAUGAAUGAGGUUGUGUCCUUUUCUUCCACAAUAAUUCAUUCUCCCAUUUUUUCUUCAAAUCAUCAAGAUAAUUAUCUUGAUGAUCAGAAAAAAUGCAAUCUUCUUUCAUAAAUAAAAACUUUGUUUUAGUGUCUUACCUUAUCAGGAUUGAGCCAGCUGCUUCCAUGUAUUUUCUUAUUGGUAACUUUGCAUAUGCUCCAGAUUUUAACAUAUAGUGUGGAUGGUCUUGUUUCGAUAAGUACUGUUAAGCUAAAGCUACGGAAGCAGAAGCUACAUGCUUUCUUGCAA
Long non-coding RNA from Magnolia sinica, 621 nucleotides. RefSeq lists it as uncharacterized. The transcript has 3 exons. Lineage: Eukaryota; Viridiplantae; Streptophyta; Magnoliopsida; Magnoliales; Magnoliaceae. The record is from RefSeq and is a predicted model, not a curated record.